UACGUAGGGUGCGAGCGUUAAUCGGAAUUACUGGGCGUAAAGCGUGCGCAGGCGGUUCGUGAUGUCUGGUGUGAAAGCCCCGGGCUUAACCUGGGAAUUGCAUUGGAAACUAGCGGGCUGGAGUGUGGCAGAGGGGGGUGGAAUUCCACGUGUAGCAGUGAAAUGCGUAGAGAUGUGGAGGAACACCGAUGGCGAAGGCAGCCCCCUGGGUCAAGAUUGACGCUCAUGCACGAAAGCGUGGGGAGCAAACAGG
RNAcentral lists this ribosomal RNA (253 nucleotides) under uncultured bacterium. RNAcentral's name for it is "partial 16S ribosomal RNA". It matches the Rfam family "Bacterial small subunit ribosomal RNA", at positions 524 to 776 of the family's 1533-position model. The record is from RNAcentral.